GUCAGUUUAGUGUAACAAACUACGUCGGAUUUUCAAACCGAAAAUGCUAAAUUAAAUGUAACUGACC
Molecule: transfer RNA, 67 nt
Filed under: Lampsilis siliquoidea
Lineage: Eukaryota; Metazoa; Mollusca; Bivalvia; Unionida; Unionidae
Description: tRNA-Glu
Source: RNAcentral